Molecule: ribosomal RNA, 251 nt
Filed under: uncultured prokaryote
Description: partial 16S rRNA
Rfam family: Bacterial small subunit ribosomal RNA
Source: RNAcentral
ACGUAGGAGGCAAACGUUAUCCGGAUUUACUGGGCGUAAAGCGCGUGUAGGUGGUUCUGUAAGUAGGGCGUGAAAGCUCCUGGCUCAACUGGGAGAGGCCGUUCUAAACUGCAGAGCUAGAGGAUGGUAGAGGGAGGUGGAAUUCCGGGUGUAGCGGUGGAAUGCGCAGAUAUCCGGAGGAACACCAGUGGCGAAAGUAGCCUCCUGGACCAGUCCUGACACUCGGACGGCAAACCUAGGGUAGCAAACUG